RNAcentral lists this transfer RNA (67 nucleotides) under Tetragnatha macilenta. Its description in RNAcentral is "tRNA-Ala". Lineage: Eukaryota; Metazoa; Arthropoda; Arachnida; Araneae; Tetragnathidae. The record is from RNAcentral.
GUUGAUAUGCUUUAGCAUAUUUAGUUGUCAGUUGAUUUGCACUCAAUUUUUAUGAAUUUUUCAUACU